Molecule: ribosomal RNA, 501 nt
Filed under: uncultured bacterium
Lineage: Bacteria
Description: partial 16S ribosomal RNA
Rfam family: Bacterial small subunit ribosomal RNA
Source: RNAcentral
AUUGAACGCUGGCGGCAGGCUUAACACAUGCAAGUCGAGCGGGGGAAGGUAGCUUGCUACCGGACCUAGCGGCGGACGGGUGAGUAAUGCUUAGGAAUCUGCCUAUUAGUGGGGGACAACUGCUCGAAAGGGAUGCUAAUACCGCAUACGUCCUACGGGAGAAAGCAGGGGAUCUUCGGACAUUGCGCUAAUAGAUGAGCCUAAGUCGGAUUAGCUAGUUAGUGGGGUAAAGGCCUACCAAGGCGACGAUCUGUAGCGGGUCUGAGAGGAUGAUCCGCCACACUGGGACUGAGACACGGCCCAGACUCCUACGGGAGGCAGCAGUGGGGAAUAUUGGACAAUGGGGGGAACCCUGAUCCAGCCAUACCGCGUGUGUGAAGAAGGCCUUAUGGUUGUAAAGCACUUUAAGCGAGGAGGAGGCUACUUUAGUUAAUACCUAGAGAUAGUGGACGUUACUCGCAGAAUAAGCACCGGCUAACUCUGUGCCAGCCGCCGCCGUAA